RNAcentral lists this ribosomal RNA (383 nucleotides) under uncultured bacterium. RNAcentral's name for it is "bacterial SSU rRNA". It matches the Rfam family "Bacterial small subunit ribosomal RNA", at positions 28 to 417 of the family's 1533-position model. The record is from RNAcentral.
GACGAACGCUGGCGGCGUGCUUAACACAUGCAAGUCGAACGGUAAGGCCCUUCGGGGUACACGAGUGGCGAACGGGUGAGUAACACGUGGUGAUCUGCCCUGCACUUCGGGAUAAGCCUGGGAAACUGGGUCUAAUACCGGAUAGGACUCCUGGCUUCAUGGUUGGGGUGUAAAGCUUUUGCGGUGUGGGAUGGGCCCGCGGCCUAUCAGCUUGUUGGUGGGGUAAUGGCCUACCAAGGCGACGACGGGUAGCCGGCCUGAGAGGGUGACCGGCCACACUGGGACUGAGAUACGGCCCAGACUCCUACGGGAGGCAGCAGUGGGGAAUAUUGCACAAUGGGCGCAAGCCUGAUGCAGCGACGCCGCGUGAGGGAUGACGGCCU